AAAACCCUUAUCCCAUGCUGUUCAACCCUUUGUCUUUUGCGUACUGCAUGUUUCCUCGGCGGGUUCGCCCGCCGAUAGGACACUUCAAAACCUUUUGUAAUUGCAAUCAGCGUCAGAAAAACUAUAAUAGUUACAACUUUCAACAACGGAUCUCUUGGUUCUGGCAUCGAUGAAGAACGCAGCGAAAUGCGAAAAGUAGUGUGAAUUGCAGAAUUCAGUGAAUCAUCGAAUCUUUGAACGCACAUUGCGCCCCUUGGUAUUCCAUGGGGCAUGCCUGUUCGAGCGUCAUUUGUACCCUCAAGCUCUGCUUGGUGUUGGGUGUUUGUCUCGCCUUCGCGCGUGGACUCGCCUUAAAGUGAUUGGCAGCCGGAAUAAUUCUGGGGAACGCAGCACAACUGCAGCCUCCAUUUUACGCCGAGCGUCCAGUAAGCCUUUUUUUUCACGUUUGACCUCGGAUCAGGUAGGGAUACCCGCUGAACUUAAGCAUAUCAA
RNAcentral lists this ribosomal RNA (492 nucleotides) under Pyrenochaeta sp. YIMPH30023. Its description in RNAcentral is "eukaryotic LSU rRNA". The stretch from base 135 to 288 matches the Rfam family "5.8S ribosomal RNA". The record is from RNAcentral. Lineage: Eukaryota; Fungi; Ascomycota; Dothideomycetes; Pleosporales; Cucurbitariaceae.